Molecule: ribosomal RNA, 468 nt
Filed under: uncultured bacterium
Lineage: Bacteria
Description: partial 16S ribosomal RNA
Rfam family: Bacterial small subunit ribosomal RNA
Source: RNAcentral
GACGAACGCUGGCGGCGUGCUUAACACAUGCAAGUCGAACGGAAAGGCCCUGCUUUUGUGGGGUGCUCGAGUGGCGAACGGGUGAGUAACACGUGAGUAACCUGCCAUUGACUUUGGGAUAACUUCAGGAAACUGGGGCUAAUACCGGCUAGGAGCUACUGCUGCAUGGUGGGGGUUGGAAAGUUUCGGCGGUUGGGGAUGGACUGGCGGCUUAUCAGCUUGUUGGUGGGGUAGUGGCUUACCAAGGCUUUGACGGGUAGCCGGCCUGCGAGGGUGACCGGCCAAAUUGGGACGGAGAUGCGGCACAGACUACUACGGGAGGCAGCAGUGGGGAAUAUUGCACUAUGGGCGGAAGCCUGAUGCAGCAAAGCCGCGUGCGGGAUGACGGCCUUCGGGUUGUAAACCGCUUUCGCCUGUGACGAAGCGUGAGUGACGGUAAUGGGUAAAGAAGCACCGGCUAACUACGUG